RNAcentral lists this RNase P RNA (354 nucleotides) under uncultured Halospina sp. RNAcentral's name for it is "Bacterial RNase P class A". It matches the Rfam family "Bacterial RNase P class A". Rfam says of the family: Ribonuclease P (RNase P) is a ubiquitous endoribonuclease, found in archaea, bacteria and eukarya as well as chloroplasts and mitochondria. Lineage: Bacteria; Pseudomonadati; Pseudomonadota; Gammaproteobacteria. The record is from RNAcentral.
GCCCGCUAUGCAGUCGCUGUUCCCGUCAGCGUACGGGGAGGGAGGAAAGUCCGGGCUCCACAGGGCGGAGUGCCAGGUAACGCCUGGGCGGCGCGAGCCGACGGAAAGUGCAGCAGAAAGGAAACCGCCUAAGCGGCCCGCGGGCCGCCGGCAAGGUUGAAAAGGUGCGGUAAGAGCGCACCGCGUGGCUGGCAACAGUCCACGGCGACGGUAAACCCCACUCGGAGCAAGGCCAAAUAGGAGUCCAGAGGUGUGGCCCGCACCGGACUCGGGUAGGCUGCUUGAGGUCCGCGGUGACGCGGAUCCCAGAGGAAUGACUGCACGCGACAGAACCCGGCUUACAGGCGGACUCGA